GCCUUAGCUCAGCUGGGAGAGCGCCUGCUUUGCACGCAGGAGGUCAUCGGUUCGAUCCCGAUAGGCUCCA
This 70-nucleotide transfer RNA is filed under the name Anoxybacillus flavithermus. Its description in RNAcentral is "tRNA-Ala". It matches the Rfam family "tRNA". From Rfam's summary of the family: Transfer RNA (tRNA) molecules are approximately 80 nucleotides in length. Their secondary structure includes four short double-helical elements and three loops (D, anti-codon, and T loops). RNAcentral also lists the same sequence under 1 other name. Lineage: Bacteria; Bacillati; Bacillota; Bacilli; Caryophanales; Anoxybacillaceae. The record is from RNAcentral.